This 76-nucleotide transfer RNA is filed under the name Bacteroidota bacterium. RNAcentral's name for it is "Bacteroidetes bacterium (freshwater metagenome) tRNA-Gly". It matches the Rfam family "tRNA". From Rfam's summary of the family: Transfer RNA (tRNA) molecules are approximately 80 nucleotides in length. Their secondary structure includes four short double-helical elements and three loops (D, anti-codon, and T loops). The record is from RNAcentral. Lineage: Bacteria; Pseudomonadati; Bacteroidota.
GCAAGGGUAGCUCAGCUGGCAGAGCAUCUGCCUUCCAAGCAGAUUGUCGCGGGUUCGAUCCCCGUCCCUUGCUCCA